Long non-coding RNA from Gadus morhua (Atlantic cod), 959 nucleotides. NCBI's taxonomy places the organism in Eukaryota, Metazoa, Chordata, Actinopteri, Gadiformes, Gadidae. The record is from Ensembl.
GUUUUUUUUUUGGUCUUUUGUUGUUUUUAGACAAUGAAGAAAUUUUGGCUUCUGGCACUUUUAGAUCGCCUCAUCUCUCCGAGACUGCAGCUCAAGAUGACCAGGGAAACUCUGUCUGUGUAACUUCUGGUUCACCUCAUCUCCCUGACUCAGUUACUCAAGGUUUCCGUGUUUCAUCAAGGCGGUGUACGAAGAGACCAUGGUCUGGUGAGGAGCAACAAGCCGUGAUGAAACAUCUGAGGCCUUUUGUUGAAAAUGGUGUCACUGCCACCAGUGGGCAGUGCCUGCAGUGCAAGGAAAAGGAACACCCUAUCUUGGAGACAAGAUCCAUUCAAAACAUUCAAGAUUUUGUACGCAACAGAGGCUUGGCCUUUAAAAGGUAUUCAAAUGCUAAACGCUAAAUGCACUUUUGGAUAGCUUUUUUUUUUAGCCUUUCUAGGCAUGUUUUACAAGUUGGUGUCCUGUGUUCAGAAAUGGGUUAGGUCAGUGUUUUAUAUAUAUUUUUUAUAUAUAUUUGAUCAAUCUGGUAAGUUUAGAUAUAUGUUUCCUUGUACAUAUUUAGAUGUAUAAAAGACAUGUAUUGCUUUACAUAUAGGGCUGUUUUCCCCUUGGUUGCUUUUGUGUUCAUGGAUGGGAGGAUCAUUUAAUGGAAGAUGAUACUCAACCAGUAAAAAAGCAGGAAAAAUGUCGUGCUUUGUCAGAAUUUAUUUCAUAAAUGGUCAUUUAAAAUACUUAAAAUCUUGCCAUUGCUAUUUGGUUUUAGUGUUUUUUCUCUCAUCAUUUAACACUAUUUAACGCUAUUUCUUGUUAAGAGCUACUGUUUUUUAAAGGGGAAGUGUACCCCAUAAUUUUUGCUGUAUGCGGUACUAUCUAAUUUCUUACAUGAUCUUAAACAUAGUUAUCUUCAACACAGUGAUCUAUCCCUUUACUUCAUUUAUUUUGCUCACAGGCAGUGUUUG